CUGGCGUCGGCUCCUCUCAAACGGAUCAGCUUGCCAGUGUUUGGUGGCGUCACGGGUGUGAUAACUAUCUACGCUUGUGGUUUUCCGCCAUGUAACCUUCAGCGAUGGAGGUUCGCUGGAGCUCACAGAUGUCUCUCCUCGGCGAGGACGGCGUUUGAACGUUUGAUCUCAAAUCAGGUAGGACUACCCGCUGAACUUAA
This 200-nucleotide unclassified non-coding RNA is filed under the name soil metagenome. RNAcentral's name for it is "partial contains internal transcribed spacer 2 and large subunit ribosomal RNA". The record is from RNAcentral.